Molecule: non-coding RNA, 592 nt
Organism: Meleagris gallopavo (turkey)
Lineage: Eukaryota; Metazoa; Chordata; Aves; Galliformes; Phasianidae
Source: RefSeq, a predicted model, not a curated record
UCCUUUUUUUGUGCUUUAAGUAAUUGUAAUUAUUAAAUACUGGAUAUGGAUAGAGAUAUGGAAAAACAGUUAUAGGAGUGCAUUAACUUCUCUUUUUUAUUCCCAGCACAAAUCCUUGUGUAUAAAAAAAUAACAGUAAUCAUAGCUCAACUGGAGUGUCAUAUAAAUUUUCUGGCAAAACACUUGGGAAGGAUACACACCAGAUUUUAAUGAAAAAUGAUAUACCAACAGCAAUUUCUCUUCUAUAAUGAAGGAACUUCAAUUUCCAUUGAUCUCAUCUGUAGAUGUAUCACAUAAGAAUUGUGGAAAGUUCGUUACCACACUGCAAAAACCACAAUCUGCUGUCCUCACACCAAGAUCAUAUGGGUGCUGAACUAGAGGAUGACACAUCCCAUCUUGUGGCUCGAUGUGUCUAUUACCAGCUGCAGACAGUUGUCUGUGCUCCAAACCAGCUGGAUACAAGGUAGUUCUUGUUCAAAAGUCAUGUGGCAGAGUUAUUGGAAACGUGAGCUGUAGCUACUGCAUUCUGCUUCUUGGUUCAGGUAAGCUAGAUACUAACUUUUCUCUGGCCUGUUCUGAGAUACGAAGUGCU